AAACGCUUGAAGUCAGUCACGUUGGCUAGAAAUCAACCUUGCUCCUGCUGGGCGUACUUUCUGGUCAACGGGUCAGCAUCAAUUUUGACCAUUGGAAAAAGUUCAGAGGAAUGUGGCAUCUUCGGGUGUGUUAUAGCCUCUGUUCGCAUACAAUGGUUGGGAUUGAGGAUCUCAGCACGCCGCAAGGCCGGGUUUCGACCACGUUCGUGCUUAGGAUGCUGGCAUAAUGGCUUUAAUCGA
Molecule: ribosomal RNA, 240 nt
Filed under: Conocybe velutipes
Lineage: Eukaryota; Fungi; Basidiomycota; Agaricomycetes; Agaricales; Bolbitiaceae
Description: partial large subunit ribosomal RNA
Source: RNAcentral